RNAcentral lists this non-coding RNA (183 nucleotides) under Gammaproteobacteria bacterium. Lineage: Bacteria; Pseudomonadati; Pseudomonadota; Gammaproteobacteria. The record is from RNAcentral.
CAUCAGUUCGUAACUUCUGGCGCUGUUUUUGAGAGCUUAAUUGGGAAGCCGGUGAGAAUCCGGCACGGCCCCGCCACUGUAAUCGUGGAGGGCUGGCCACUAUGCCACUGACCGAUGAGGUUGGGAAGGCGGCCAGUCCGAGGAAGCGAGAGUCAGGAGACCUGCCAGAGGUCGGAUGGGUGU